GUGAAAGAAGAUUGCCACGGAGACAGACAGCAGCAUGGCUUUUCUGGCUUUGCCCGCCCAGCUGCUCCAUGCCAGGAGGAGGAGGAGACACCUAGAGCCUGCAACACCACGGCUCACCUCGCUGCGGGUGGGUGGCAGUGACGGAGACUGCAGUGCACCAUAGCGAUUUUCAAAGUGUCAUACCUUGAACCACCGCCAGAUGGCUAUGAGAAUGUUACAAAUACUGCGCCACCAUAUAAUGCUUUCUCAGCCCAAGGCAUGCCAGAGGUAAAAUAAAAUACAUUUGUAACCCAAGUCUUUAAAUGGUUCUUUUGCUAUAUAAAACCUGUAUAGAGGACUAAAACCAAGGAAAUUAGGUGAAUCAUUCAUGCGGAUUCAUUGUUUGAUAUUCAG
This 393-nucleotide long non-coding RNA is filed under the name Homo sapiens (human). RNAcentral describes it as "HSALNT0352038". The record is from RNAcentral. Lineage: Eukaryota; Metazoa; Chordata; Mammalia; Primates; Hominidae.